UGCAAACAUUGACUGUGCCUUCUC
RNAcentral lists this non-coding RNA (24 nucleotides) under Rattus norvegicus (Norway rat). The record is from RNAcentral. Lineage: Eukaryota; Metazoa; Chordata; Mammalia; Rodentia; Muridae.